CCAACGACUCUCGGCAACGGAUAUCUCGGCCCUCGCCUCGAUGAAGAACGUAGCGAAAUGCGAUACGUGGUGUGAAUUGCAGAAUCCCGCGAACCAUUGAGUCUUUGAACGCAAGCUGCGCCCGAGGCCUUCUGGACGAGGGCACGCCUGCCUGGGCGUCACGC
This 164-nucleotide ribosomal RNA is filed under the name Donax canniformis. RNAcentral's name for it is "5.8S ribosomal RNA". It matches the Rfam family "5.8S ribosomal RNA". Rfam says of the family: 5.8S ribosomal RNA (5.8S rRNA) is a component of the large subunit of the eukaryotic ribosome. It is transcribed by RNA polymerase I as part of the 45S precursor that also contains 18S and 28S rRNA. Functionally, it is thought that 5.8S rRNA may be involved in ribosome translocation. The record is from RNAcentral. Lineage: Eukaryota; Viridiplantae; Streptophyta; Magnoliopsida; Zingiberales; Marantaceae. RNAcentral also lists the same sequence under 1 other name.